This 500-nucleotide ribosomal RNA is filed under the name uncultured bacterium. Its description in RNAcentral is "partial 16S ribosomal RNA". It matches the Rfam family "Bacterial small subunit ribosomal RNA", at positions 30 to 523 of the family's 1533-position model. The record is from RNAcentral.
AUUGAACGCUGGCGGCAGGCCUAACACAUGCAAGUCGAGCGGUAGAGAGAAGCUUGCUUCUCUUGAGAGCGGCGGACGGGUGAGUAAUGCCUAGGAAUCUGCCUGGUAGUGGGGGAUAACGUUCGGAAACGGACGCUAAUACCGCAUACGUCCUACGGGAGAAAGCAGGGGACCUUCGGGCCUUGCGCUAUCAGAUGAGCCUAGGUCGGAUUAGCUAGUUGGUGAGGUAACGGCUCACCAAGGCGACGAUCCGUAACUGGUCUGAGAGGAUGACCAGUCACACUGGAACUGAGACACGGUCCAGACUCCUACGGGAGGCAGCAGUGGGGAAUAUUGGACAAUGGGCGAAAGCCUGAUCCAGCCAUGCCGCGUGUGUGAAGAAGGUCUUCGGAUUGUAAAGCACUUUAAGUUGGGAGGAAGGGUUGUAGAUUAAUACUCUGCAAUUUUGACGUUACCGACAGAAUAAGCACCGGCUAACUCUGUGCCAGCCGCCGCGGUAA